This 468-nucleotide ribosomal RNA is filed under the name uncultured bacterium. RNAcentral describes it as "partial 16S ribosomal RNA". It matches the Rfam family "Bacterial small subunit ribosomal RNA", at positions 28 to 507 of the family's 1533-position model. The record is from RNAcentral.
GACGAACGCUGGCGGCGUGCUUAACACAUGCAAGUCGAACGGAAAGGCCCUGCUUUUGUGGGGUGCUCGAGUGGCGAACGGGUGAGUAACACGUGAGUAACCUGCCCUUGACUUUGGGAUAACUUCAGGAAACUGGGGCUAAUACCGGAUAGGAGCUCCUGCUGCAUGGUGGGGGUUGGAAAGUUUCGGCGGUUGGGGAUGGACUCGCGGCUUAUCAGCUUGUUGGUGGGGUAGUGGCUUACCAAGGCUUUGACGGGUAGCCGGCCUGAGAGGGUGACCGGCCACAUGGGGACUGAGAGACGGCCCAGACUGCUACGGGAGGCAGCAGUGGGGAAUAUUGCACAAUGGGCGGAAGCCUGAUGAAGCAACGCCGCGGGCGGGAUGACGGCCUUCGGGUUGUAAACCGCUUUCGCCUGUGACGAAGCGUGAGUGACGGUAAUGGGUAAAGAAGCACCGGCUAACUACGUG